RNAcentral lists this ribosomal RNA (403 nucleotides) under Fusobacteriota bacterium. RNAcentral's name for it is "Fusobacteria bacterium partial 16S ribosomal RNA". It matches the Rfam family "Bacterial small subunit ribosomal RNA", at positions 355 to 775 of the family's 1533-position model. Lineage: Bacteria; Fusobacteriati; Fusobacteriota. The record is from RNAcentral.
UGGGGAAUAUUGCACAAUGGAGGGAACUCUGAUGCAGCGACGCCGCGUGAGUGAUGAAGGAAUUCGUUUCGUAAAACUCUGUUCUAUGGGAAGAAAAGGACUGUACCAUAGGAGAAAGCUCCGGCUAAAUACGUGCCAGCAGCCGCGGUAAUACGUAUGGAGCGAGCGUUGUCCGGAAUUAUUGGGCGUAAAGGGUGCGCAGGCGGCUUUACAAGUUGGAUGUGAAAUAUUGUGGCUCAACCACAAACGUGCAUCCAAAACUGCAAAGCUUGAGUUAAGGAGAGGUAAGUGGAAUUCCUGGUGUAACGGUGGAAUGCGUAGAUAUCAGGAGGAAUACCGGUGGCGAAGGCGACUUACUGGACUUAAACUGACGCUCAGGCACGAAAGCGUGGGGAGCAAACAG